Molecule: microRNA precursor, 282 nt
Filed under: Oryza sativa Indica Group (long-grained rice)
Lineage: Eukaryota; Viridiplantae; Streptophyta; Magnoliopsida; Poales; Poaceae
Also listed under: 1 other name
Description: osa-MIR445e
Source: RNAcentral
GUCCGUGUCACAUCGAAUGUUUGACGCUAAUUUGGAGUAUUAAACAUAGACUAAUAAAAAAACUAAUUUCAUAAAUGAAAGCUAAUCUGCGAGACGAAUUUUUUAAGCCUAAUUAAUCCAUAAUUAUGAAAAGUUUACUGUAGCAUCACAUUGUCAAAUCAUGGUGUAAUUAGACUCAAAAGAUUCGUCUCGCGAAUUAGUCCAAGGUUAUAGAAUAGGUUUUAUAAUUAGUGUAUGUUUAAUACUCUAAAUUAGUGUAUAAACAUCCGAUGUGACAGGGAC